This 401-nucleotide ribosomal RNA is filed under the name uncultured bacterium. Its description in RNAcentral is "bacterial SSU rRNA". It matches the Rfam family "Bacterial small subunit ribosomal RNA", at positions 88 to 524 of the family's 1533-position model. The record is from RNAcentral.
GGGUCUAGUGGCGCACGGGUGCGUAACGCGUGGGAAUCUGCCCUUGGGUCCGGAAUAACUCUCCGAAAGGAGUGCUAAUACCGGAUGAUGACGUAAGUCCAAAGAUUUAUCGCCCAAGGAUGAGCCCGCGUAAGAUUAGGUAGUUGGUGAGGUAAAGGCUCACCAAGCCGACGAUCUUUAGCUGGUCUGAGAGGAUGAUCAGCCACACUGGGACUGAGACACGGCCCAGACUCCUACGGGAGGCAGCAGUGGGGAAUAUUGGACAAUGGGCGAAAGCCUGAUCCAGCAAUGCCGCGUGAGUGAUGAAGGCCUUAGGGUUGUAAAGCUCUUUUACCCGGGAUGAUAAUGACAGUACCGGGAGAAUAAGCCCCGGCUAACUCCGUGCCAGCAGCCGCGGUAAU